This 496-nucleotide ribosomal RNA is filed under the name uncultured bacterium. RNAcentral describes it as "partial 16S ribosomal RNA". It matches the Rfam family "Bacterial small subunit ribosomal RNA", at positions 29 to 507 of the family's 1533-position model. The record is from RNAcentral.
ACGAACGCUGGCGGCGUGCCUAAUACAUGCAAGUUGAGCGCUGAAGGUUGGUACUUGUACCAACUGGAUGAGCAGCGAACGGGUGAGUAACGCGUGGGGAAUCUGCCUUUGAGCGGGGGACAACAUUUGGAAACGAAUGCUAAUACCGCAUAAAAACUUUAAACACAAGUUUUAAGUUUGAAAGAUGCAAUUGCAUCACUCAAAGAUGAUCCCGCGUUGUAUUAGCUAGUUGGUGAGGUAAAGGCUCACCAAGGCGAUGAUACAUAGCCGACCUGAGAGGGUGAUCGGCCACAUUGGGACUGAGACACGGCCCAAACUCCUACGGGAGGCAGCAGUAGGGAAUCUUCGGCAAUGGACGAAAGUCUGACCGAGCAACGCUGCGUGAGUGAAGAAGGUUUUCGGAUCGUAAAACUCUGUUGGUAGAGAAGAACGUUGGUGAGAGUGGAAAGCUCAUCAAGUGACGGUAACUACCCAGAAAGGGACGGCUAACUACGUG